Molecule: transfer RNA, 76 nt
Filed under: Geobacteraceae bacterium
Lineage: Bacteria; Pseudomonadati; Thermodesulfobacteriota; Desulfuromonadia; Geobacterales; Geobacteraceae
Description: tRNA-Arg
Rfam family: tRNA
About the family: Transfer RNA (tRNA) molecules are approximately 80 nucleotides in length.
Source: RNAcentral
GCCCUCGUAGCUCAACGGACAGAGCAGCAGCCUUCUAAGCUGUUGGUUGUGGGUUCGAUUCCCGCCGAGGGCGCCU